GAAAUGCGAUAAGUAAUGUGAAUUGCAGAAUUCAGUGAAUCAUCGAAUCUUUGAACGCACAUUGCGCCCGCCAGUAUUCUGGCGGGCAUGCCUGUUCGAGCGUCAUUUCAACCCUCAAGACCCCUUCGGGGGACUUGGUGUUGGGGACCGGCCCCGGCCUUUGCGCCCGCCGCCCCCGAAAUGAAUUGGCGGCCUCGUCGCGGCCUCCUCUGCGUAGUAGCACAACCUCGCAACGGGAGCGCGACGCGGCCACUGCCGUAAAACGCCCAACUUUUAACAGAGUUGACCUCGAAUCAGGUAGGAAUACCCGCUGAACUUAA
RNAcentral lists this unclassified non-coding RNA (320 nucleotides) under uncultured Ascomycota. RNAcentral's name for it is "sequence contains ITS1". The stretch from base 1 to 105 matches the Rfam family "5.8S ribosomal RNA", at positions 50 to 154 of the family's 154-position model. Lineage: Eukaryota; Fungi; Ascomycota. The record is from RNAcentral.